AGCGUACACGGUGGAUGCCCUGGCAGUCAGAGGCGAUGAAGGACGUGCUAAUCUGCGAUAAGCGUCGGUAAGGUGAUAUGAACCGUUAUAACCGGCGAUUUCCGAAUGGGGAAACCCAGUGUGUUUCGACACACUAUCAUUAACUGAAUCCAUAGGUUAAUGAGGCGAACCGGGGGAACUGAAACAUCUAAGUACCCCGAGGAAAAGAAAUCAACCGAGAUUCCCCCAGUAGCGGCGAGCGAACGGGGAGCAGCCCAGAGCCUGAAUCAGUGUGUGUGUUAGUGGAAGCGUCUGGAAAGGCGCGCGAUACAGGGUGACAGCCCCGUACACAAAAAUGCACAUGCUGUGAGCUCGAUGAGUAGGGCGGGACACGUGGUAUCCUGUCUGAAUAUGGGGGGACCAUCCUCCAAGGCUAAAUACUCCUGACUGACCGAUAGUGAACCAGUACCGUGAGGGAAAGGCGAAAAGAACCCCGGCGAGGGGAGUGAAAAAGAACCUGAAACCGUGUACGUACAAGCAGUGGGAGCACGCUUAGGCGUGUGACUGCGUACCUUUUGUAUAAUGGGUCAGCGACUUAUAUUCUGUAGCAAGGUUAACCGAAUAGGGGAGCCGAAGGGAAACCGAGUCUUAACUGGGCGUUAAGUUGCAGGGUAUAGACCCGAAACCCGGUGAUCUAGCCAUGGGCAGGUUGAAGGUUGGGUAACACUAACUGGAGGACCGAACCGACUAAUGUUGAAAAAUUAGCGGAUGACUUGUGGCUGGGGGUGAAAGGCCAAUCAAACCGGGAGAUAGCUGGUUCUCCCCGAAAGCUAUUUAGGUAGCGCCUCGUGAAUUCAUCUCCGGGGGUAGAGCACUGUUUCGGCAAGGGGGUCAUCCCGACUUACCAACCCGAUGCAAACUGCGAAUACCGGAGAAUGUUAUCACGGGAGACACACGGCGGGUGCUAACGUCCGUCGUGAAGAGGGAAACAACCCAGACCGCCAGCUAAGGUCCCAAAGUCAUGGUUAAGUGGGAAACGAUGUGGGAAGGCCCAGACAGCCAGGAUGUUGGCUUAGAAGCAGCCAUCAUUUAAAGAAAGCGUAAUAGCUCACUGGUCGAGUCGGCCUGCGCGGAAGAUGUAACGGGGCUAAACCAUGCACCGAAGCUGCGGCAGCGACGCUUAUGCGUUGUUGGGUAGGGGAGCGUUCUGUAAGCCUGCGAAGGUGUGCUGUGAGGCAUGCUGGAGGUAUCAGAAGUGCGAAUGCUGACAUAAGUAACGAUAAAGCGGGUGAAAAGCCCGCUCGCCGGAAGACCAAGGGUUCCUGUCCAACGUUAAUCGGGGCAGGGUGAGUCGACCCCUAAGGCGAGGCCGAAAGGCGUAGUCGAUGGGAAACAGGUUAAUAUUCCUGUACUUGGUGUUACUGCGAAGGGGGGACGGAGAAGGCUAUGUUGGCCGGGCGACGGUUGUCCCGGUUUAAGCGUGUAGGCUGGUUUUCCAGGCAAAUCCGGAAAAUCAAGGCUGAGGCGUGAUGACGAGGCACUACGGUGCUGAAGCAACAAAUGCCCUGCUUCCAGGAAAAGCCUCUAAGCAUCAGGUAACAUCAAAUCGUACCCCAAACCGACACAGGUGGUCAGGUAGAGAAUACCAAGGCGCUUGAGAGAACUCGGGUGAAGGAACUAGGCAAAAUGGUGCCGUAACUUCGGGAGAAGGCACGCUGAUAUGUAGGUGAAGUCCCUCGCGGAUGGAGCUGAAAUCAGUCGAAGAUACCAGCUGGCUGCAACUGUUUAUUAAAAACACAGCACUGUGCAAACACGAAAGUGGACGUAUACGGUGUGACGCCUGCCCGGUGCCGGAAGGUUAAUUGAUGGGGUUAGCCGCAAGGCGAAGCUCUUGAUCGAAGCCCCGGUAAACGGCGGCCGUAACUAUAACGGUCCUAAGGUAGCGAAAUUCCUUGUCGGGUAAGUUCCGACCUGCACGAAUGGCGUAAUGAUGGCCAGGCUGUCUCCACCCGAGACUCAGUGAAAUUGAACUCGCUGUGAAGAUGCAGUGUACCCGCGGCAAGACGGAAAGACCCCGUGAACCUUUACUAUAGCUUGACACUGAACAUUGAGCCUUGAUGUGUAGGAUAGGUGGGAGGCUUUGAAGUGUGGACGCCAGUCUGCAUGGAGCCGACCUUGAAAUACCACCCUUUAAUGUUUGAUGUUCUAACGUUGACCCGUAAUCCGGGUUGCGGACAGUGUCUGGUGGGUAGUUUGACUGGGGCGGUCUCCUCCUAAAGAGUAACGGAGGAGCACGAAGGUUGGCUAAUCCUGGUCGGACAUCAGGAGGUUAGUGCAAUGGCAUAAGCCAGCUUGACUGCGAGCGUGACGGCGCGAGCAGGUGCGAAAGCAGGUCAUAGUGAUCCGGUGGUUCUGAAUGGAAGGGCCAUCGCUCAACGGAUAAAAGGUACUCCGGGGAUAACAGGCUGAUACCGCCCAAGAGUUCAUAUCGACGGCGGUGUUUGGCACCUCGAUGUCGGCUCAUCACAUCCUGGGGCUGAAGUAGGUCCCAAGGGUAUGGCUGUUCGCCAUUUAAAGUGGUACGCGAGCUGGGUUUAGAACGUCGUGAGACAGUUCGGUCCCUAUCUGCCGUGGGCGCUGGAGAACUGAGGGGGGCUGCUCCUAGUACGAGAGGACCGGAGUGGACGCAUCACUGGUGUUCGGGUUGUCAUGCCAAUGGCACUGCCCGGUAGCUAAAUGCGGAAGAGAUAAGUGCUGAAAGCAUCUAAGCACGAAACUUGCCCCGAGAUGAGUUCUCCCUGACUCCUUGA
RNAcentral lists this ribosomal RNA (2789 nucleotides) under Escherichia coli. RNAcentral's name for it is "bacterial LSU rRNA". It matches the Rfam family "Bacterial large subunit ribosomal RNA". Lineage: Bacteria; Pseudomonadati; Pseudomonadota; Gammaproteobacteria; Enterobacterales; Enterobacteriaceae. The record is from RNAcentral.